UACGGAGGGGGCAAGCGUUACUCGGAAUUAUUGGGCGUAAAGGGCGCGUAGGCGGUCCUGUGCGUCGGAGGUGAAAUCCCCAGGCUUAACUUGGGGCCUGCCUCCGAAACGGCGAGACUUGAGUCCGGGAGAGGGGAGCAGAAUUCCCAGUGUAGCGGUGAAAUGCGUAGAUACUGGGAGGAAUACCAGUGGCGAAGGCGGCUCCCUGGACCGGUACUGACGCUGAGGCGCGAAAGCGUGGGUAGCAAACAGG
This 253-nucleotide ribosomal RNA is filed under the name uncultured bacterium. RNAcentral describes it as "partial 16S ribosomal RNA". It matches the Rfam family "Bacterial small subunit ribosomal RNA", at positions 524 to 776 of the family's 1533-position model. The record is from RNAcentral.